RNAcentral lists this transfer RNA (90 nucleotides) under Noviherbaspirillum pedocola. RNAcentral describes it as "Noviherbaspirillum sp. DKR-6 tRNA-Sec". It matches the Rfam family "Selenocysteine transfer RNA". The record is from RNAcentral. Lineage: Bacteria; Pseudomonadati; Pseudomonadota; Betaproteobacteria; Burkholderiales; Oxalobacteraceae.
GGAGGUGGCUGAGGUCUGGUGGCUUCCCUGGUCUUCAAAACCAGUGGCCUGCCGUAGGCGGGUUGUGGGUUCGAUUCCCAUCCCCCUCCG